CGGGUGAGUAACGCGUGGGUAACCUGCCUCAUACAGGGGGAGUAACAGUUAGAAAUGACUGCUAAUACCGCAUAAGCGCACAGUGCUGCAUGGCACAGUGUGAAAAACUCCGGUGGUAUGAGAUGGACCCGCGUCUGAUUAGCUAGUUGGUGGGGUAACGGCCUACCAAGGCGACGAUCAGUAGCCGGCCUGAGAGGGUGAACGGCCACAUUGGGACUGAGACACGGCCCAAACUCCUACGGGAGGCAGCAUG
RNAcentral lists this ribosomal RNA (253 nucleotides) under uncultured bacterium. RNAcentral's name for it is "partial 16S ribosomal RNA". It matches the Rfam family "Bacterial small subunit ribosomal RNA", at positions 103 to 353 of the family's 1533-position model. The record is from RNAcentral.